UUUUGUAUGUGGCUUCUUUCACUUAGCAAGGUAUUUUCAAAGUUCAUCCACAUUGUAGCAUGUAUCAACAAUUUAUUCCUUUUCAUGACUGAAUAAUAUUCCAUUGUAAGGAUAUACCACAUUGUGUUUAUCCAUUCAUGCGUUGAUAGAUCCAUCUUGGAGAAAGAUCAAUCUUGGAUCAAUCUUGGAGAAAGAUCGGCAAAGACCUAAAGGAUGGAACAGCUCUGGCCAAGGGACUAACACAUGCAGAGGCCUGAGAUGGAGAUGAAAACUGCAGGAAAGUGGAGACCUCGCUGGAUGAACCAGGAGCAAAAAGAUUGGAUGUCAAGGAAAAGGUAACACCUCCUGCUUGGUACUACAGACAUACCUAGUUUUAUUGCACUUCACAGAUAUUGCAUUUUUACAAAUGGAAGGUUUGCGGCAACCCUGCAUCGAGCAAGUCUAUUGGCACCAUUUUUUCCAACAGCAUUUGCUCACUUCAUGCCUCUGUGUCACAUUUUGGUAAUUCUUGCAAUAUUUCAAACUUUUACAUUAUUGUUAUAUUUGUUAUGGUGAUCUGUGAUCAGUAAUCUUUGAUGAUAGUAUUGUAAUCUUUCUUGGGCGCCAUGAACAGUGCACAUACAAGACAACAAACUUAAUCGAUAAAUGUUGUGUGUGUUCUGGCCGCUCCACCAACUGGCCGUUUUCGCGUCUCGCUCCCUCUCCUCGGGCCUCCCUAUUCCCUGAGACACA
This 732-nucleotide long non-coding RNA is filed under the name Equus caballus (horse). RNAcentral describes it as "lncRNA (ENSECAG00000056085.1)". The record is from RNAcentral. Lineage: Eukaryota; Metazoa; Chordata; Mammalia; Perissodactyla; Equidae.